This 253-nucleotide ribosomal RNA is filed under the name uncultured bacterium. Its description in RNAcentral is "partial 16S ribosomal RNA". It matches the Rfam family "Bacterial small subunit ribosomal RNA", at positions 524 to 776 of the family's 1533-position model. The record is from RNAcentral.
UACAGAGGAUGCAAGCGUUAUCCGGAAUGAUUGGGCGUAAAGCGUCUGUAGGUGGCUUUUUAAGUCCGCCGUCAAAUCCCAGGGCUCAACUCUGGACAGGCGGUGGAAACUACCAAGCUGGAGUACGGUAGGGGCAGAGGGAAUUUCCGGUGGAGCGGUGAAAUGCGUUGAUAUCGAUAGGAACUCCGGUGGCGAAGGCGGCAUACUGGACCACAUCUGACGCUGAGGCGCGAAAGCCAGGGGAGCGAACGGG